CAUAGUGUAGCUUAGUUCCAAAGCAUCUGGCCUACACCCAGAAGAAUUCAUAAAAUUGAACACUUUGA
RNAcentral lists this transfer RNA (68 nucleotides) under Sundamys infraluteus. Its description in RNAcentral is "tRNA-Val". It matches the Rfam family "tRNA". From Rfam's summary of the family: Transfer RNA (tRNA) molecules are approximately 80 nucleotides in length. Their secondary structure includes four short double-helical elements and three loops (D, anti-codon, and T loops). Further hydrogen bonds mediate the characteristic L-shaped molecular structure. tRNAs have two regions of fundamental functional importance: the anti-codon, which is responsible for specific mRNA codon recognition, and the 3' end, to which the tRNAs corresponding amino acid is attached (by aminoacyl-tRNA synthetases). tRNAs cope with the degeneracy of the genetic code in two manners: having more than one tRNA (with a specific anti-codon) for a particular amino acid; and 'wobble' base-pairing, i.e. permitting non-standard base-pairing at the 3rd anti-codon position. Lineage: Eukaryota; Metazoa; Chordata; Mammalia; Rodentia; Muridae. The record is from RNAcentral.